Nomascus leucogenys (northern white-cheeked gibbon) is the source of this 106-nucleotide small nuclear RNA. The record is from Ensembl. Lineage: Eukaryota; Metazoa; Chordata; Mammalia; Primates; Hylobatidae.
GUGUGGCUUCAGUUGUACAUAUAGUAAAAUUGAAACAACGUUGAGAAGAUCAGCAAGGUCCCUACACAAGGAUGACAUACAAAUAUGUAAAGUGUUGCAUAUUUCU